Molecule: ribosomal RNA, 253 nt
Filed under: uncultured bacterium
Lineage: Bacteria
Description: partial 16S ribosomal RNA
Rfam family: Bacterial small subunit ribosomal RNA
Source: RNAcentral
UACAGAGGGGGCAAGCGUUGUUCGGAAUUACUGGGCGUAAAGGGCGCGUAGGCGGCCUUCUAAGUCGAACGUGAAAUCCCCGGGCUCAACCCGGGAACUGCGUCCGAUACUGGAAGGCUUGAAUCCGGGAGAGGGAUGCGGAAUUCCAGGUGUAGCGGUGAAAUGCGUAGAUAUCUGGAGGAACACCGGUGGCGAAGGCGGCAUCCUGGACCAAUAUUGACGCUGAGGAGCGAAAGCCAGGGGAGCAAACGGG